Girardinichthys multiradiatus is the source of this 588-nucleotide long non-coding RNA. RefSeq lists it as uncharacterized. NCBI's taxonomy places the organism in Eukaryota, Metazoa, Chordata, Actinopteri, Cyprinodontiformes, Goodeidae. The transcript is spliced from 3 exons. The record is from RefSeq and is a predicted model, not a curated record.
UUCUUUCAUCCUCAGUUGUCUUUAGGUCUGUGUCUUCUGUUUCCUCAUUGUCAGGUCGUCUAGUUGAUCCACCUGUUUGUCCAGCCGUUCUGAGUCCUGGUUCCUGUGUUUCUCUUCAUGUCCUGGAGCUGGUUCUCCUCUCAAUUCUGCCCACGAGCACUACUGCAUGUAAAGAGCAGGAUCAGAACAUCCAAAAGCAGCUUCUCCCAACAAUCCAGGAGCAAGCUGUGUUUGCCUGCAUGAUGGAGCUCCUUGUUUCAAGGCUGAAGCGAUAAGAGGCCCAAAGAUCAGAACAUUAAAAUUUUGGACCUGUAGUGAGGAAGCUCUCCUGAUCCAGAUCCUGAGGCCAGUUCUCCAAAACCAGGUGGAUAAAGGCCAGGUGACCCUUUUAAGGGUUAAAGGAUGGCGAGCUUCUGACAACUGGCUGGGCCUGGAGAACUUGAAAUUCACUCCAUACUGGACUCGUAAGAGGCUGAUGGUCCGUAGUAUUUCCCCCUCCUUCUCACUAUACCGACACACAAUCCAUUAUUCAUCUCUUCUUCAUUGGGAACAAAUUGCGCUUGGACAUUUUCAUCUUAAAUAUCUGGA